RNAcentral lists this ribosomal RNA (474 nucleotides) under uncultured organism. RNAcentral describes it as "partial 16S ribosomal RNA". It matches the Rfam family "Bacterial small subunit ribosomal RNA", at positions 335 to 800 of the family's 1533-position model. The record is from RNAcentral.
ACUCCUACGGGAGGCAGCAGUGGGGAAUUUUGGACAAUGGGCGAAAGCCUGAUCCAGCAAUGCCGCGUGAGUGAAGAAGGCCUUCGGGUUGUAAAGCUCUUUUGUCAGGGAAGAAACGGUGAAAGCUAAUAUCUUUUGCUAAUGACGGUACCUGAAGAAUAAGCACCGGCUAACUACGUGCCAGCAGCCGCGGUAAUACGUAGGGUGCAAGCGUUAAUCGGAAUUACUGGGCGUAAAGCGUGCGCAGGCGGUUUUGUAAGUCUGAUGUGAAAUCCCCGGGCUCAACCUGGGAAUUGCAUUGGAGACUGCAAGGCUAGAAUCUGGCAGAGGGGGGUAGAAUUCCACGUGUAGCAGUGAAAUGCGUAGAUAUGUGGAGGAACACCGAUGGCGAAGGCAGCCCCCUGGGUCAAGAUUGACGCUCAUGCACGAAAGCGUGGGGAGCAAACAGGAUUAGAUACCCCGGUAGUCCCAUGA